GUCCUUCGGGACGGAGAGAGCGGCGUACGGGUGCGGAACACGUGUGCAACCUGCCUUUAUCUGGGGGAUAGCCUUUCGAAAGGAAGAUUAAUACCCCAUAANAUAUNNNANGGCAUCNUNNNAUAUUGAAAACUCCGGUGGAUAGAGAUGGGCACGCGCAAGAUUAGAUAGUUGGUGAGGUAACGGCUCACCAAGUCAGUGAUCUUUAGGGGGCCUGAGAGGGUGAUCCCCCACACUGGUACUGAGACACGGACCAGACUCCUACGGGAGGCAGCAGUGAGGAAUAUUGGACAAUGGGUGAGAGCCUGAUCCAGCCAUCCCGCGUGAAGGACUAAGGCCCUAUGGGUUGUAAACUUCUUUUAUACUGGGAUAAACCUACUUACGUGUAAGUAGCUGAAGGUACAGUAUGAAUAAGCACCGGCUAACUCCGUGCCAGCAGCCGCGGUAAUACGGAGGGUGCAAGCGUUAUCCGGAUUUAUUGGGUUUAAAGGGUCCGUAGGCGGAUCCGUAAGUCAGUGGUGAAAUCUCAUAGCUUAACUAUGAAACUGCCAUUGAUACUGCGGGUCUUGAGUGAGAUUGAGGUAGCUGGAAUAAGUAGUGUAGCGGUGAAAUGCAUAGAUAUUACUUAGAACACCAAUUGCGAAGGCAGGUUACCAAGUCUUAACUGACGCUGAGGGACGAAAGCGU
This 687-nucleotide ribosomal RNA is filed under the name Chryseobacterium shigense. Its description in RNAcentral is "bacterial SSU rRNA". It matches the Rfam family "Bacterial small subunit ribosomal RNA", at positions 75 to 762 of the family's 1533-position model. Lineage: Bacteria; Pseudomonadati; Bacteroidota; Flavobacteriia; Flavobacteriales; Weeksellaceae. The record is from RNAcentral.